ACAGAUUCACUCUGUAGCCAGCUGUAGCCCCAGGUGGGUGCUUUUUCUGUCUGCCACAAAGACAUCCCCAAGUGUUGUAACCACCUUGACCUGUCAGGGCAGUGCAACCCUCUGGGGACUCAGGG
Vulpes vulpes (red fox) is the source of this 125-nucleotide small nucleolar RNA. The record is from Ensembl. NCBI's taxonomy places the organism in Eukaryota, Metazoa, Chordata, Mammalia, Carnivora, Canidae.